This 490-nucleotide ribosomal RNA is filed under the name uncultured bacterium. RNAcentral's name for it is "partial 16S ribosomal RNA". It matches the Rfam family "Bacterial small subunit ribosomal RNA", at positions 28 to 507 of the family's 1533-position model. The record is from RNAcentral.
GAUGAACGCUAGCGAUAGGCUUAACACAUGCAAGUCGAGGGGCAGCAUGGUCUUAGCUUGCUAAGACUGAUGGCGACCGGCGCACGGGUGCGUAACGCGUAUGCAACUUGCCUCACAGAGGGGGAUAACCCGUCGAAAGACGGACUAAUACCGCGUACACUCCAUCUUGGGCACCCAAGGUAGAGGAAAUGAAAUUCGCUGUGAGAUAGGCAUGCGUCCCAUUAGCUAGUCGGUGAGGUAACGGCUCACCAAGGCGACGAUGGGUAGGGGAACUGAGAGGGUGACCCCCCACACUGGUACUGAGACCCGGACCAGCCUCCUACGGGAGGCAGCAGUGAUUAAUAUUGGUCAAUGAGCGCGAGCCUGAGCCAGCCAAGUCGCGUGAAGGAUGCCUGUCUUAUGGAUUGUAAUCUUCUUUUAAACGGAAAUACCAAGAGUCACGUGUGACUCCCUGCAUGUACCGUAUGAAUAAGCCUCGGCUAACUCCGUG